RNAcentral lists this long non-coding RNA (1038 nucleotides) under Malus domestica (apple). RNAcentral describes it as "long non-coding RNA (MDOM_LNC006463)". The record is from RNAcentral. Lineage: Eukaryota; Viridiplantae; Streptophyta; Magnoliopsida; Rosales; Rosaceae.
UAGUGAAGUGUUUGGAGCAGCGGACUAUAUGUCCUAGACUAAAUUAUGAAGGAAAACAAAAAGGUAAUCAGCAAACCGAAUUUUGGUCUCAAAAACAUAUUCGAAUAAUGAAUUCAAUACAAAACAGAAGCAAACUGGAUGAUGUGAAGAAAUGUCAAGCUAACAAUAAUCGCAAAUGAAAUUGUAGAAAUUGGAAACCGAAAUACCCAUUUUGCUAAAAAAAUUGCAGAAAUUGCUAAACGCCCACCAAAUUCACAGAUAAAUUGGUUAAAAAAAAAAGAAAAAAAGAAAAGAAAACCGCAUUCCAAGACAACAGCAUAAAUUCCAAUCACCAUUAGCAGAAAUUGCAAAUCUUUUGAGGGUUAGAGCAAGUACCAAAGAGCGAAACCGAAAUCAAGCAGCAAGAGAAUAAAAAAUUGGGGACUUUCACAUCUGUGAAAUACAAAAUCUAUGAUUUCGUAAACAUCAACAAUUAUCUGCGACUUGAGUUUCAGUGGUCGGUGGGAUGGUCUAGGCGAGGUCGUCCGGCAGGAUGAAAACGCGAGAGGAGUCGAUCAGCCGACGCGGCGGGGAAUGGUGGCUGAGGUCGAAGGGGUCAAGCAGACGAGGACGCGAGAAAGGAGUCGAUCAGACGACGAUGCGGCGGAGAGUGGUGGCUGACGCCGGAGGGGUCAAGCAGAUGCGGACAUGAUAUAGGAGUCGUUCAGACGACGCCGAGAGAGAGAGGAAUCGAGCGUAUAAGGACGAGAGAGAGCACGGUCUUAGCAAUCCCAUAGGUUUCGGGGGGACUCAAGUACAAAAAUAAGGAGAAAGAGAAACCAUUCGAAUUAGAGCACGAAAUUGGAAGCCUGGAAUGAAGCGGAGGGGAAGGAUUCGCAGUGUGAAGGCACUGAAGGGGAAGGAUUCGCGAUUCGGUUGCAGUGUGAAGACUGAAGAGGAAGGGUUUGGAUUUGCUGCUGUGAACUGUGAACACACAAGAGUGAAGGGGAAGACUGAACACACAGCAGUGAUAAUUAUAUAAUUGUCACUCAAUUCUAC